Molecule: long non-coding RNA, 1347 nt
Organism: Dicentrarchus labrax (European seabass)
Lineage: Eukaryota; Metazoa; Chordata; Actinopteri; Moronidae
Exons: 2
Source: RefSeq, a predicted model, not a curated record
AAUAAAGGCGCAAGAAAGACACCACAGAACGAAUCUAGUCAAUGAGUUCAUGAGUGACUUCAGACAUUUGGCAGCGCCUGCGUCGAGUCACACGACUGUUUCUCUGCAUCCUCGUCGUAGGUCGAAUCCAUCUCGUUCUGCCUCGACCUUCCUCCUGCAACUCCUCCUCCUCCUCCUCCUCCCCCCCUGCCGAGUCUGGGCAGCCUUACAGCCCCGCAGGUGCGUUUGGCGAGCGCUGCCAGCUCCUGCCGGGCGAGCGGGUUGAAGAGGAUGUACAGCAGUGGGUUGACGCAGGCCGGCAGUGGUGCCACAAGCAGAAGCACCCCCUUUGCCGCCUCUGGCCCGGCGACGGGGAGGCGCAGCAGGGAGGAGAAGGAGAGGAAGGCGACAGGGAGGUAGAGGAGGCAGUCCGAGAAGAGCAGCCAGGCUACAUGUCGAGUCAACGCCACCUCCUCUUCAGCAGCGGGCGGAGCUUUGUUGGCCCGACAGUAGAGGCGAGUGUAGGCGACCGUCAUGACGAGGAAGCACAACGAGUCGAGGAGCACCAGGGAGACGGAGAAGGCCAGGGAGGAUGAGGAGGAAGAGGAAGGCAGUGGCAAGCAGAGGGAGGUGCUACUGUGUCCGGCCACAAGGGGGGGAAGCGUGAUGGCCAGGCCCAACAGGAAACACACGCAGACGGCGAGACGGAUGGAGAGCGGCGAGGAGGAGCGACCUGGAAGGAGAGGAGAGUGAAAUCAGACACGACCUGGAGAAUACUUUACGGAUGUGUAUGUGUUUGUGUGUUUUUCACACCGUGUCCGUCAGCUUUGUGGCGGCGUGCGGCGGCGGCAAGGCAUCGCUCCAAAGCUGCGAUGGUGAGCAGGAAGAGGCCGGUCUGCGACGCAAAUACGCACAGGAAGCCGCUGAGUCGACACAGGAAGCUGCUCUCCCACCUCGCCCCGUACCUGCAACAUGAAGAGAUGAAGUAUGUGAUCCACUGGCUCCCGGUCAAACUCCGCACAGACUUCCAAAUUUUACGUUCAAUGCCAUCCACAACCUUUCCCCUCCUUAUCUGUCCGAACUCCUCCACAUCACCACCCCUUCCCAGUCUCUCAGAUCUGCCUUGGGGAGCAGGCUCUGACCCCCGACUCUGGAACUCACUCCCACCGGACAUCAGGAACCUGGACUCUCUCACACUCUUCAAAUCAAGACUAAAAACUCACCUAUUCAGAACUGCAUACCCCACUUAACUAUCUACAUUGUCUUUUCUUGUCUGUUUCUUAUUUCUUACUGUUUUUAUUUUUAUGUAUUGUACGGUGUUCCUCGAGUGCCCAGAGAGUCGCCUUUAAAUAAAAUGUAUUAUCAUUA